Molecule: ribosomal RNA, 335 nt
Filed under: uncultured soil bacterium
Lineage: Bacteria
Description: bacterial SSU rRNA
Rfam family: Bacterial small subunit ribosomal RNA
Source: RNAcentral
AGGACGAACGCUGGCGGCGUGCCUAACACAUGCAAGUGGAGCGACGAACCGGGGCUUGCCCCGGGGCAGAGCCGCGAACGGGUGAGUAACACGUGGGUUACCUGCCCCGAUGACUGGGACAACCCGUCGAAAGACGGGCUAAUACCGGAUGUGCCCCGUUGGGGGAAAGGAGCUUCGGCCUCCGCAUCGGGAUCGGGCCCGCGGCGCAUUAGCUUUGGUUGGUGGGUAAUGGCUUACCGAAGGCGACGAUGCGUAGCUGGUCUGAGAGGACGAUCAGCCACACUGGACUGAGACACGGCCCAGACUCCGUACGGGAGGCAGCGAGGUGGGGAAUC